GGGAGAAGGCUACCAAAAACUGUCCGCAUAACAUCAAAGGCUUCUUGAAUCCAACUAAAUUGGGACUUUACAGCCAUUAGGCAUGCAAUAGCAUCCACUUGGGAAACCUUGAUAUACUCGUGAAGGGGUUGCUGUGCUGCAGACAACAUAUCGUAAUAUGCUUUUGUGGUUGGCUCUAUCUCUUCCUCCCUACAUCCUUCAUCAAAGUGUGCUUCAUGAAAGUCAUUUAACAUGUAUCCUUCCCUGGCAUCAUAAUCCUCGACGCAUUGUCUCACGACCU
This 280-nucleotide long non-coding RNA is filed under the name Setaria viridis. RNAcentral's name for it is "long non-coding RNA (SVIR_LNC003306)". The record is from RNAcentral. Lineage: Eukaryota; Viridiplantae; Streptophyta; Magnoliopsida; Poales; Poaceae.